UGGGGAAUUUUGGACAAUGGGGGCAACCCUGAUCCAGCCAUGCCGCGUGUCUGAAGAAGGCCUUCGGGUUGUAAAGGACUUUUGUUAGGGAAGAAAAGGGAAGUGUUAAUACCACUUUUUGCUGACGGUACCUAAAGAAUAAGCACCGGCUAACUACGUGCCAGCAGCCGCGGUAAUACGUAGGGUGCGAGCGUUAAUCGGAAUUACUGGGCGUAAAGCGAGCGCAGACGGUUACUUAAGCAGGAUGUGAAAUCCCCGGGCUCAACCUGGGAACCGCGUUCUGAACUGGGUGACUAGAGUGUGUCAGAGGGAGGUAGAAUUCCACGUGUAGCAGUGAAAUGCGUAGAGAUGUGGAGGAAUACCGAUGGCGAAGGCAGCCUCCUGGGAUAACACUGACGUUCAUGCUCGAAAGCGUGGGUAGCAAACAGGAUUAGAUACCCUGGUAGUCCACGCCCUAAACGAUGUCAAUUAGCUGUUGGGCAACUUGAUUGCUUAGUAGCGUAGCUAACGCGUGAAAUUGACCGCCUGGGGAGUACGGUCGCAAGAUU
This 548-nucleotide ribosomal RNA is filed under the name uncultured bacterium. RNAcentral describes it as "bacterial SSU rRNA". It matches the Rfam family "Bacterial small subunit ribosomal RNA", at positions 355 to 895 of the family's 1533-position model. The record is from RNAcentral.